AUGUGCGUUCCGAAGAAGAAGGGUAGUAUGGGGUUUAGGGACCUUCACAAUUUUAAUCUGGCUAUGUUAGUAAAGUAGUGUUGGCGACUUCUCUAGAAUCCUGAAUCUUUAUGUCCGUGAGUUUUGAGGGCAAAAUAUUAUCCCGAUGGUGACAUACUGAAAGCAGGGUCAGAGAAGGCUUCUUCAUAUACAUGGCAAAGCAUUGUUGCAGGUAUCCAAAUUUUCAAAAGAGGAUGUAUUUGGUGA
Molecule: ribosomal RNA, 246 nt
Filed under: Triticum aestivum (bread wheat)
Lineage: Eukaryota; Viridiplantae; Streptophyta; Magnoliopsida; Poales; Poaceae
Description: partial small subunit ribosomal RNA
Source: RNAcentral